RNAcentral lists this long non-coding RNA (2077 nucleotides) under Nicotiana tabacum (common tobacco). RNAcentral's name for it is "long non-coding RNA (NTAB_LNC001352)". The record is from RNAcentral. Lineage: Eukaryota; Viridiplantae; Streptophyta; Magnoliopsida; Solanales; Solanaceae.
GCAUAGGUUCACGACUUGAGAUCGUAUCUGUUAACGAUCGCACUUGUGAGGCAAAUCAAGAGCAUGCUGCAGUUACUCCUACAAUGCAAAUUUCCAAUCAGGAGCUGGCUAAAAUUGUAAUGGAUGCACCUGCAGUUAUGAUAAUGAACACAACUACAAAGAUUAAUGCACCUCUAGUCACGCUGAAUAUUUCAGUCUUUGAGAUACCAUCCCAAUCGAUGGAGUCUUUUGGUGAACAUGCUGAUGAUUCUGGACUGCAGCUAAUCUCAAUGGGCAACAACCAACAGUCAAAUGCAGGUAUGAUCUCACUCUUUCAAGAAUCAACAAAUGAUAUAACAGGCUAUAAGGAGCAAAAAGGAGAGACGAGUGCACUGACAGCUAAUGAAAAGAUUUGGGCUGACCAAGUUGAGGAGGAGGAACACGAUUCUGCAUAAAUUUAUUUAGGUACUAUCGAAUAUGCAACAACACUGUUACCUGCCACCCCACGAUCAAAGGAAGCAUCAGAAAAGGUAAAACAAGAGCAGGUUUCUAUCUCAACAUCAACUGCUCCAGAGAGGAGAGGUUUGAGUCCAAACGCUGUUGUAUUUGUACCUUCGGGACAGCAACAUAAGACAAACAAUUCAGCAGAUUCAAAGGAGAUCCAAAUUUCAUCCACGAACAUGGCAGCAGCUACUGGAAUUAGCACUUCAAUAACUGCAACAUACAAUUUGACACUAACAAAUAUCAUCAAUGCUCUUGUUUCACAUGACAUGGAAACAUUGAGAGGUCUUGAUAAUCAUAGGAAAGAUCAAAUAGCACUAUCGAAUGAGUACAGACAUAUUGACGAUUUUGGGAUGCAUAUGGGUCAAGACUUUUAUGAAGAAGGAGAACAUGAUGCACUACUGGAUGCCACCUUCAACAUUAUAGCUAGGGAGGGAGAUCUUUCACCAAGACAUGUGCGAAGCGGAUCCAACAAAUACAAGAAGAAGGCACCAGACAUGCAACAUAGUUGGGACGACAAAGCAACACAAGAGAUUGUCAUUAGGAAACCUCCAAUGAGAAAUGCAAAGCAAAAGGCAGUUGUACCUACGACCUCUACAAGGUCAAAUAGGUCAAAGAGAAAAUAAUAAAGUUUGAAGAAUUUUUGAAGACACUGGAAGAGGAAGCCAAUGAGCUACAAAUUGUAGAGUUCACAAGGUUGAAGAAAGAGGGGCAAGACUCAAUUUUUUUACAUUGUUUUACUUUAUCACUUUUUAAGUAUCAUCAAUUGUAAUAUCAUCACAAAGUAUGUUAUAAACUCUGUGAUGAUCAUACAGUACCUAGUUCUUUCCAGUUCUUUUUUUCUUCAUGCUUGUUAGUAGAUGAGGUUUAUUAUGCCUCAAUAGGAUCUGUAAGGUAAGGUCUAGCACAGUAUGUGUGUGCUUAUAUGCUAUGCCUUUGGGAAGACCCAAGCAGCUGUAAGGUUAUAUGCCCUCGUGAGACUUGCCAGUAGCUACACCAUGAUCCUCUACACGAGGCUGCCAUCUUAAGGCAAUGAAGGGGCAGAGGAGUGAUUAUAUAGCCAAGGCAUAAAGACAACACUACUAUAAAAAUAAAAGUAAAACAUAUAUUUCACGGUAAGAUUGACCCAAAAAAAAAAAAGGAUUUCCACGGCAAAACAUUUAGCAUUCUUCAUUCUUGUAGUUUGGGGUUCAAAAAGUAAAAGUAAACACUUAUGUCCUUAAAAACAAAGUUAACUGAACACAAAAAUAUUGUACCACACAAUUGCGUACUCGCGAGCCCGAUCUCCAACUACUUCAAACUCAAAACAUGAGAUGAAAGAUCCAUUUGUUCUGCUUUUUUAAACGGUUGAUUCGUAGAAGUUUUAAAUAAGAAAAUAAAUGACUUUGGAACUAGGUUUUUGACUGAGCUUAGGAGGUCGUUUUGGGUGGAAGAAAGCAGUUGUUCUUUGGUGGUGUUUGGGUCAUUUUUGGACUGAUUUACAACUGUUUUUGGGGUGUGUUUAGUGGAUGUUUAAGCUGAAGUUUGGGGCAGUUUAGAGGGGAUUCAUGGCUAGUUUUAGAGGUGUUUCAAUGAAGGUUUUGAGGUGGAGUUUUUU